ACGAGCGCAACCCUCGUUUUUAGUUGCCAGUCAUUAAGUUGGGCACUCUAGAGAGACUGCCGGAUGACAAACCGGAGGAAGGUGGGGAUGACGUCAAGUCAGGCAUGCCCCUUACGUCCUGGGCUACACACGUACUACAAUGCUACGGACAAAGGGCAGCCAGACAGCGAUGUCGAGCAAAUCCCAUAAACCGUGGCUCAGUUCAGAUCGCAGGCUGCAACCUCGCCUGUCGUGAAGGUGGAAUCGCUAGUAAUCCCAGAUCAGCAGUGCUGGGGUGAAUACGUUGCCCGGGCCUUGUACACACCGCCCCGUCACACCAUGGAAGUUGGCACACGCCC
This 338-nucleotide ribosomal RNA is filed under the name Chroococcus sp. Ind50. Its description in RNAcentral is "bacterial SSU rRNA". It matches the Rfam family "Bacterial small subunit ribosomal RNA", at positions 1092 to 1423 of the family's 1533-position model. The record is from RNAcentral. RNAcentral also lists the same sequence under 1 other name. Lineage: Bacteria; Bacillati; Cyanobacteriota; Cyanophyceae; Chroococcales; Chroococcaceae.